AGCCUCUCCGGAGCGAUCCAGACUACCUUUUCUAACAGAUGAACAGAUGCCUUAACGACUGAGCUGACCCGAGCUGGCAUUACCCUGAGAGCAGAGAGUAUAAGACUGAGAGCGGUCACUGCCCUGAGUUCCCGAGAGAGAGAGAGAGAGGGUGGCGGGAGAGAGAGUGCAAAGAGCCAGCACUCCCCUCGCAGACUUGUCCCCUCUGUUUUUCUGAAACAGGCAGUGCUCUUUUGAAACGGUGCCAAUGGAGGCUGGCCCAAGCCCCUGCAGCUGAAACUUUUACAAGCUCAGUGUUCGCGAGCAGGAAGAGAAAGACACAGAGUUAAGAUUUUGCAGCUCCUCUUAUCUACUCUUCUGCAACCUGCCUGAGAUGUCAGCACAAUGAUUCAUGUUUGCUUUUUUUUGUUCAUUUAAACUAAAAAUUCUUCAAGAAUAUGUACAGAAAUGUUCUGGAAAGAAGACUGCAUGAGGAGAGAGAGGAUUUAAAGUAUUUCUAUGGAAAUAAUUGCUUAAAAAAAUUAAGAGUCAGUGACGUCACACAGGAAGCUGUCUUGGAUAUUGCCUGAGGAAAGAAACUGAUGAGUGUCCGUGGCACUCUGUGGCGUGGACAAAAUUAAAUUGUUGUGCCCUAUUCAGGACUCGCACAUUGGAUUAUUUUAAUGUUUUUCAUUUCUUGGUGAUGUUCCAUGGGAAACAUUAUCUUUGGAUUCGCUUGUUCCCAGAGACUGACCCUUCCCUUGCCCUUAUAUUCCCUUCAGAGCACCAUGACACAUUUUGUUACUUGAGGAUGUAUUGUGGUAAACAUCCUAGACCACUUGUUUGGUUUGUUAUGUUGACAGUAAACACUGGUUUCCAUACACUAGUACAACCAAAUUAAAUCAAAACCUCAGUGGUUACCAUUCUUUUUUAUCGACUCUGACAAAAAUCCGAAUAAAAACACAGGCAGGUGCAGAACAACUAAAGACGUCAGGAGUGACUGCCGAAAAUGGGAACUAUGAGGCAUGUACUACCUGGGAAUGAUGCCAACUGCUGACAAAAGGCUUUACUGCACGGUUCUGAGAGAAGCCUUUAACUCAUUUGCUCUGCAAUGCUUCAGGAAUAUCUGGCACUGAAUUGUUUGGCCAACUGUAGAUAAAUCUGUCAAACCUUUUGGCUUUCUUACAAGACAGCAUGUAAGUACUCAUUUCUAAUUCCAUACCCGAGCUUAUUUCUCUCUCUGUUUCUCUCUGUUUCUUUUCCCCUCCUAGCCCCUAACCCUUCAGUCAAGUGAGAUGUCUACUUGAUGACACAUAAUCUACAGUUCAUGUGACGGCUCCCCUUUAUGUGGCUACUUAACUCAUUCUGUGACUUUACCUCAAAGCAAAACUCUAUUUUAAGCAUAUUCCAGGUGGAUUUCAUAUCUUUAGUAAGAGCAUGUAAGCACAAUUUUGUAACUUCAUGAUUUCUUUUCCUGCCUCCCUUUCUCCUUGCUGUCUCUCCCUCUUGGCAGCAGGGCAAAAGUGGGCAGGGAGAGAGGAGGGCAUGGCCCAGAAACUGCUCUCAAGCCCCAACCCCUGUUCAAGUGGGGUUACUUACUCAGCCUUUCCCUCGUCUUGCAGGCGAAAGAGAGGGAUGUGGAAAUGCAUUCUUGUCUCUUUUCUAACCCUCCUUUUUUUUUCCACCGUCACCAUGGCCUAAUUCUCUGCGGGUGAAUACUAGCCUGACCUGUACAAAAAACUCACCUUCAGGAUUGCUACGUAGGUGCGAGAAAUCUGCACCAGAGGCAACAUAAAAUAUCCUUCAGCUGUACUGUGGCUACUGCUUCCCAUGUAUUUUACCACAAAAUUAAAAAGUAUCUCAAAUGGGUGGAAUAAGAGACAGGAUGAUCUGCUGUGAUGCCGAAACCUGUAUUCACAUGGGAAAAUAACCCAUCCCUCACCUCUGGGGAGGACAUUGCAGACACAACAAAGACUUUAUAUAUUUUCCAAGACACAAUGGUGGAAUUGAUGUAUUCUAACAACAUGUAUUGAAGUUGGUACAUAUUGAAUGAAGUCUUAUUUUUAAGGAUAUUUAUUGGUGGCUGAAGUUGAGCCUAGCAAGGUGAGGUAGUAGGUUGUAUAGUUUGUGGGAUGGAGUAAAUCCUACUCAGGUGAUAACUAUACAGUCUAUUACCUUCCUUGAGAGGUAAAAUGAGUGCUUGGAAUGAAGCUCACUCAGACUGACACACAAGUGGUGAAGGAGCCACUCUGACGCCAUCAUGUGGCCAAAGACUAUCAUCACUCUGGAAAUAAUCUUAGCUUUGGCACCUCUGUUGUGUGUAUCUGGGGCCUGUUCACAAAACAUCCUAAUGCUAAAAGUAGUUCCUAACUGGUGGAGUUAGGAGAAAUAAGGGCUGUAUUAGUCCUAACUUUAGGACUCCUAAGUUUUUGGUCUAAGAUUAAUUCACAAAGCAUUUUAACAUUAAAAGUAGGUCCUAAAUCUGAGAGAAGUUAGAGGCAGCCCAGAGGUCGCUAAGACCUACUUACAGUCAGUAAUGUGCUGCAGGUAAUGUGUCGCAUUGCUUCAGUUUUUUGUAAAAACAGAAUAAUAAUGAACUUUUAAUCUGUAUUUUGACAGCAGCCAUUUAAUAAUUCAGUCGGCUCACCAACAAAUCAAAACAAUCCAAUAACACCGGAGAUGACAGUUUGCACAACUCUAUGCUACUUUGAGAUCGGUAAAACACAGUUUGCAGCACUGAUAAUCUCAGCCUCAGCCAUCUGACAGAAUUAUUCAUCAAACCAAAAAUGCACUCUUCAGAGCCCAGUUUGUUUUACAGUUAAAUUGCAUUAAAUGCACAUUAAAUAAUCCCCAAACACAUAACCCACAUAAAUAAAGGUAAUUUCAUGCUCAUUGCUGGAUAUUCCAGUAAAAUCGGUGCUAUAUGUAUGUUCGCCUGUGUAUGUUCUUGUUCAUGUUACUAUGUUGAUUGUUUUGUGUUGUUUGGAUUGUUUAAUUAACUAUCAUUACUUUUAUGUAUUUAUUUUUUGUUUAAAUGUCUGUUAAUUUCCAUGUUUUUGUGUCUGAGGACCCUCCUUGAAAACGAGAUGGUGCAUCUCAAGGGAUUUAUCCUCAAAUUAAAUUUGAAGUCAGUUUUGUGGCCUAGAAUUACCACGUCAAAGCAUGACAAUUUGUUUUGUCAGCUGGAGAAAAUAUCAUAUCCUGAUGGUAUUUGAUGCCACAUACAAUAAACAAGUCAAUAUUUUA
Molecule: long non-coding RNA, 3225 nt
Organism: Siniperca chuatsi (mandarin fish)
Lineage: Eukaryota; Metazoa; Chordata; Actinopteri; Centrarchiformes; Sinipercidae
Exons: 3
Source: RefSeq, a predicted model, not a curated record